GAGCUGUUGCCAUCGAUUUGGAGUUGCUGCGGAAUGGGGCCACUAGGAGAGUAGUGCUGCUGCUAAACCACAGGCUCUGCGGCCGAGACUCUGCCGCCGAAGAACACUCUUCCGAGCUUCUGGCCGCCGUCGGAGCUGUUGUCGGGGUCGGUUCAAAAUUGCAGCUGCCUCAUUGUGUUAUUCGUGUUGCUAUGGUUGUUGCGAAUGUGGCUUGAAGCUGAGGUUGCGGUUGUUGUUGAUUUCGGGUUGAGGCGGAAAGGACUCUGUGACGCGUUUGAGUUAUGGAAUUUGCGUUUUGAGGAUAUGGGCGCAGAAGUCACGAAGAGUUUAUUUUGUUAUUGAG
Arachis ipaensis is the source of this 343-nucleotide non-coding RNA. The record is from RefSeq and is a predicted model, not a curated record. Lineage: Eukaryota; Viridiplantae; Streptophyta; Magnoliopsida; Fabales; Fabaceae.